UUCAUUGAGGGGCAUUGGUCGUGUUCUAUACUACACUGAGGAGUUGACUGGGGAUGAAGGGGUCGUGAUCGUGUACAUAUAGCUCACUGAGGGGCCUUAGCCGUGUUCUAAAAUUGAUUACCAGAGGUCAUGAUACUCGCUUACGUUCACGGAGGGGGCGAAAGGCCUGUGGCGAAAGUGCUUAGUUCGAGGGGUGGAUUACAGAUUUUAGUCAAAAGGUAGUAUUGGUCCUUGGUAGCUUGAGAAGUCUAGUGAUUUCAGAGUUAGAGCCACACGACAUGUUGAAGGAUGCGAGUCAGUUUGAUUAAACCACGAAGUAAAAUUUUGGGCACAUUGCACUAUGUUUGUAUAAACAUUUGAUUUUAUUGCAUAUCUUGUAGUAACUCAUAGUGAGCAUUGGUGAUGGAUUUGACAUUUGUUAGCAUCUAUUGUUGGCACACACCACGUUUUGGGUUCAUUAGGGUGAUUCGGGAUGGAUCGUGUUAGGUAGUAACUACUUAAUAAGGUACAUCAAAUCUAGGAUGGUGGUAACAAGGAGUGUUGAGAGUGAAUCGCAUUCGAAGGAGGAAGAUGCCGUCAAAAGAUUUACUUAUAAAAGAAGACAAUCUACUUCCCCACAAAAAUCUCAAUCAAAAAUGCAAAAGCCCCAGAUCAGGUCGCAAUUCUAGUUCGAAGGACGUAACUCACAAUGCCUCAUCAUUUUUUGUUUAGUCCUAUGCAAUUCAAUUUGUGAUUGUCAAUUAUUCUUGAUUUAAAAAUGGGAUUGUUUUUGAA
Molecule: long non-coding RNA, 774 nt
Organism: Olea europaea var. sylvestris
Lineage: Eukaryota; Viridiplantae; Streptophyta; Magnoliopsida; Lamiales; Oleaceae
Exons: 2
Source: RefSeq, a predicted model, not a curated record